GAUGAACGCUGGCGGCGUGCUUAACACAUGCAAGUCGAACGGGAAUUACUUUAUUGAAACUUCGGUCGAUUUAAUUUAAUUCUAGUGGCGGACGGGUGAGUAACGCGUGGGUAACCUGCCUUAUACAGGGGGAUAACAGUCAGAAAUGGCUGCUAAUACCGCAUAAGCGCACAGAGCUGCAUGGCUCAGUGUGAAAAACUCCGGUAGUAUAAGAUGGACCCGCGUUGGAUUAGCUUGUUGGUGGGGUAACGGCCCACCAAGGCGACGAUCCAUGGCCGGCCUGAGAGGGUGAACGGCCACAUUGGGACUGAGACACGGCCCAGACUCCUACGGGAGGCAGCAGUGGGGAAUAUUGCACAAUGGGGGAAACCCUGAUGCAGCGACGCCGCGUGAAGGAAGAAGUAUCUCGGUAUGUAAACUUCUAUCAGCAGGGAAGAUAGUGACGGUACCUGACUAAGAAGCCCCGGCUAACUACGUGCCAGCCGCCGCCGUAA
Molecule: ribosomal RNA, 494 nt
Filed under: uncultured bacterium
Lineage: Bacteria
Description: partial 16S ribosomal RNA
Rfam family: Bacterial small subunit ribosomal RNA
Source: RNAcentral